AAAACACUCUGGAAAAUAUAUCAAUCUGAACUAAUAACAAGAUCUAACAGUUUUGUAAUUGUUUUCUAUUAAUCCAAACCCAAACAAAGAAGAAACAUUCUCGAAGACAGUUUUGUAAUUGUUUUCUAUUAAUCCAAACCCAAACAAAGAAGAAACAUUCUCGAAGACCAUAAGAUAAACAAGAUUUAGGAAUCCUUUACAAGUUUAAUAAAAGCACAAGUCAUACAGAGGACAAGCCCCCUCUAAAGUGAUAAACAAUGUUGUGAGCAACAUCAUGGUUUUUGAUGUCUUCACAACAAUUAUUAGGAAGAGAUUCUCUACCUAUCAAUUCUCUACCUUUUUGAUAACUUUCUCUCUGUACGUGGUUUGAGCCUAACUCAUCUCUAUAAAACCAACUUGUAGAGUAAGAAUUGCCCCCCCCCUUAUAAAAACAUGUUCAGAUCAUAUAUUAUCCGACACGAGACUCUUAACACUCUCUAUCUCUCUUUUAAGAAACAAUUUUUCUAAUCUAAAUCUAAAUAAUCUGAUUUUAAUCACCAAUCCUUCUAGAUACACUAAGGUCACCAAAUAUCAAAGGUUCAAUCGUAGUUAAAUAGUCUCUUAAAAUAUUUGUGAGUUGUUAAGUGAUAACACAUAAUAUUUAAACUAGUAUAAUAAAAAAGAGAAAUAAAGUUACAGUAAGGAUAAGCAGCAUCUUGAACAAUCUUCUCGAGAGUAUCAUAAACAAUCUUGCUAUCAACAAGGAACCUCAAGUAACCAUCAACAGUAG
This 769-nucleotide long non-coding RNA is filed under the name Lathyrus oleraceus (garden pea). Its description in RNAcentral is "Pisum sativum (pea) long non-coding RNA (PSAT_LNC000394)". The record is from RNAcentral. Lineage: Eukaryota; Viridiplantae; Streptophyta; Magnoliopsida; Fabales; Fabaceae.